UCAUUUCUUAAUUCGUGAACUGUAUCUUUUCUGUUUUGGUCUUGAUCUAAGAAAAAUCAUCCCAUCUCGUUGACCUCUGCAACAAACCAAUCUUUGUUUCACUGAUUUUCUCUUUUGCUUAAUGCCCCAUACUUUAAAGAAAUCUUUGACAAUUUAACUAUUUCUGUGUGGACAUCUAUAUCAUAUAACUGACUGGAAAAGGCAAGGAAGGUACAGAAGAAUAAUAUUCAAGUCCUUGAAGGGCUGAAUUAAAGAAAUGACCAGAUUCUUCUACUCACCUAAAGGUGAAACACCUAUCAGUGGAGUAUACAAGGCACAGAGAAACAAACAUGAGCAUGAUUGCCCCCUAUUCUGUAACACACACUGUAGACUCUGACAGAUUUGGGUCCAGAUGCUAACCUAGAUACUCUGCUACCUGUAUGUAUAUAGUUAUAUUUUACACAUAUUUCUUUUGAUUUCCCUAAAAGCAAUGAUAAACUUUUUACAUAAAUCAGAUAAAAAUGGAGCUGAACAAACCAUCAUCAUGCGGACAUCCAUGAAAGGACUGAAGUUAUGAGAGGAUUGUGGUUACCAAACCUGAGGUGAUCUUCAAGUUGGAGCAGAGAACACAGCCAUGGAUGCUAGGAGAAGCCCUAAAUCAGAGACUUCCAGUUCUUUUUCAGAACACGUAUGGAGAGGAGUCUUGGGGACUAAGUCUAAACAUGAACAAGGCCAUGGACAGCCUUCAAGGACAAAAAGAGAGGGAUGCUCCCUAGCUACACAUGAACUUUCUCUGAAUCUUGGCUUUAUAAUUUUAAUUAAAAUAUACUAAUGGAGACAAGUUUGAAUAAAAAUGAUUCAUAUAUAAUCUGUAUUUGUAUC
RNAcentral lists this long non-coding RNA (861 nucleotides) under Oryctolagus cuniculus (rabbit). RNAcentral's name for it is "lncRNA (ENSOCUG00000031874.1)". Lineage: Eukaryota; Metazoa; Chordata; Mammalia; Lagomorpha; Leporidae. The record is from RNAcentral.